GUUCCUUCGGGGACAUCUUAUAAAAUUGGAACGAUACAGAGAAGAUUAGCAUGGCCCUUGCGCAAGGAUGACACACACAAAUUGAGAGAUAUAUGAGAUGAAA
This 103-nucleotide small nuclear RNA is filed under the name Marchantia polymorpha subsp. ruderalis. Lineage: Eukaryota; Viridiplantae; Streptophyta; Marchantiopsida; Marchantiales; Marchantiaceae. The record is from RNAcentral.